Molecule: ribosomal RNA, 355 nt
Filed under: uncultured soil bacterium
Lineage: Bacteria
Description: bacterial SSU rRNA
Rfam family: Bacterial small subunit ribosomal RNA
Source: RNAcentral
AGAGUGAACGCUGGCGGCAGGCCUAACACAUGCAAGUCGAACGGCAGCACAGUAAGAGCUUGCUCUUAUGGGUGGCGAGUGGCGGACGGGUGAGGAAUACAUCGGAAUCUACCUUGUCGUGGGGGAUAACGUAGGGAAACUUACGCUAAUACCGCAUACGACCUACGGGUGAAAGCGGAGGACCGCAAGGCUUCGCGCGAUUGGAUGAGCCGAUGUCGGAUUAGCUAGUUGGCGGGGUAAUGGCCCACCAAGGCGACGACCCGUAGCUGGUCUGAGAGGAUGAUCAGCCACACUGGAACUGAGACACGGUCCAGACUCCUACGGGAGGCAGCAGUGGGGAAUAUUGGACAAUGGG